CCUAAGGUAGCGAAAUUCCUUGUCGGGUAAGUUCCGACCCGCACGAAAGGCGUAAUGAUUUGGGCACUGUCUCGACAAUGCACCCGGUGAAAUUGAAAUACCAGUGAAGAUGCUGGUUACCUGCGCCAGGACGGAAAGACCCCAUGGAGCUUUACUCCAGCUUGAUACUGGGAUUCGGUAUUGCAUGUACAGGAUAGGUGGGAGACUAAGAGGUGAUGACGCCAGUUGUCACGGAGUCGAUGUUGGGAUACCACCCCUGCAGUACUGGGUUUCUAACCUGCGGCCGUGACCCGGCCGGGGGACAAUGUCUGGUGGGGAGUUUGACUGGGGCGGUCGCCUCCGAAAGGGUAUCGGAGGCGCUCAAAGGUUCCCUCAGAAUGGUUGGAAACCAUUCGAAGAGUGCAAAGGCAGAAGGGAGCUUGACUGCGACACCGACGGGUGGAGCAGGUACGAAAGUAGGACUUAGUGAUCCGGUGGUAUAAAGUGGGAUUGCCAUCGCUCAACGGAUAAAAGCUACCCUGGGGAUAACAGGCUUAUCACUCCCAAGAGUUCACAUCGACGGAGUGGUUUGGCACCUCGAUGUCGGCUCAUCGCAUCCUGGGGCUGUAGCAGGUCCCAAGGGUUGGGCUGUUCGCCCAUUAAAGCGGUACGCGAGCUGGGUUCAGAACGUCGUGAGACAGUUCGGUCCCUAUCCGGCGUGGGCGUAGGAUAUUUGAGAGGAGCUGUCCUUAGUACGAGAGGACCGGGAUGGACGGACCGCUGGUGUAUCUGUUGUUGUACCAACAGCAUGGCAGAGUAGCCAAGUCCGGCAGGGAUAAACGCUGAAGGCAUCUAAGCGUGAAGCCCCCCUCAAGAUAAGAUAUCCCAUCAUAAGAGUAAGACCCCUUGAAGACUACAAGGUUGAUAGGCUUGGAGUGUAAUCGUGGCAACACGUUCAGCUGACAAGUACUAAUAGGUCGAGGGCUUAUCCUU
This 972-nucleotide ribosomal RNA is filed under the name human gut metagenome. RNAcentral describes it as "bacterial LSU rRNA". It matches the Rfam family "Bacterial large subunit ribosomal RNA", at positions 1950 to 2925 of the family's 2925-position model. The record is from RNAcentral.